CAAAGUAAAGCUUAUAUAGUUAAGUACUUCAUUUACACUGGGGGGUUUUUUGUGCAAUUCAAUUUAUUUUGA
This 72-nucleotide transfer RNA is filed under the name Grylloblatta sculleni. RNAcentral describes it as "tRNA-Val". Lineage: Eukaryota; Metazoa; Arthropoda; Insecta; Grylloblattodea; Grylloblattidae. The record is from RNAcentral.